ACGGAAGGCAGCAGUGGGGUAUAUUGCACAAUGGGGGAAACCCUGAUGCAGCAACGCCGCGUGAAGGAAGACGGUCUUCGGAUUGUAAACUUCUGUUCUUAGUGAAGAUAAUGACGGUAGCUAAGGAGUAAGCCACGGCUAACUACGUGCCAGCAGCCGCGGUAAUACGUAGGUGGCAAGCGUUGUCCGGAAUUACUGGGUGUAAAGGGAGCGCAGGCGGGAAAUCAAGUUGGAUGUGAAAUGUCGGGGCUUAACCCCGGAACUGCAUCCAAAACUGAUUUUCUUGAGUGAAGUAGAGGUAGGCGGAAUUCCGAGUGUAGCGGUGAAAUGCGUAGAUAUUCGGAGGAACACCAGUGGCGAAGGCGGCCUACUGGGCUUUAACUGACGCUGAGGCUCGAAAGUGUGGGGAGCAAACAGGAUUAGAUACCCUGGUA
Molecule: ribosomal RNA, 434 nt
Filed under: uncultured Clostridium sp.
Lineage: Bacteria; Bacillati; Bacillota; Clostridia; Eubacteriales; Clostridiaceae
Description: partial 16S ribosomal RNA
Rfam family: Bacterial small subunit ribosomal RNA
Source: RNAcentral